AGAGGGUGCGAGCGUUAAUCGGAAUUACUGGGCGUAAAGGGCGCGUAGGCGGUUAUGUAAGUUAGAUGUGAAAUCCCCGGGCUUAACCUGGGAAUGGCAUUUAAUACUGUAUGACUAGAGUAGAGUAGAGGGAAGUGGAAUUUCCGGUGUAGCGGUGAAAUGCGUAGAUAUCGGAAAGAACACCAGUGGCGAAGGCGGCUUCCUGGACUCAUACUGACGUUGAGGCGCGAAGGCGUGGGUAGCAAACAGGAUUAGAUACCCUGGUAGUCCAUGCUGUAAACGAUGAAAACUAGAUGUUGGAGGGUUAAACUCUUCAGUAUCGAAGCUAACGCGAUAAGUUUUCCGCCUGGGGAGUACGGCCGCAAGGCUA
RNAcentral lists this ribosomal RNA (370 nucleotides) under uncultured bacterium. Its description in RNAcentral is "bacterial SSU rRNA". It matches the Rfam family "Bacterial small subunit ribosomal RNA", at positions 527 to 896 of the family's 1533-position model. The record is from RNAcentral.